This 265-nucleotide ribosomal RNA is filed under the name uncultured archaeon. RNAcentral describes it as "partial 16S ribosomal RNA". It matches the Rfam family "Archaeal small subunit ribosomal RNA", at positions 717 to 982 of the family's 1478-position model. The record is from RNAcentral.
AGUCACUGACAUUAGAUACCCGUGUAGUCCAGGGUGUAAACGCUGCAGACUUGGUGUUGGAGGCCCUUUGGGGGCAUUCAGUGCCGGAGAGAAGUUGUUAAGUCUGCUACUUGGGGAGUACGUCCGCAAGGAUGAAACUUAAAGGAAUUGGCGGGGGAGCACCGCAACGGGAGGAGCGUGCGGUUUAAUUGGAUUCAACACCGUAAAACUCACCAGGGAAGACUGUUACAUGAAAGCCGAGAUGAAGACUCUGCUAGAUUUUCAG